Molecule: long non-coding RNA, 1082 nt
Filed under: Capra hircus (goat)
Lineage: Eukaryota; Metazoa; Chordata; Mammalia; Artiodactyla; Bovidae
Description: lncRNA (ENSCHIG00010003736.1)
Source: RNAcentral
CCUCAUAAAAGUUAUUCUUUAAUUUUGGCAACUCUCAUACCAACUGUUCACAAUCUUUUAAAAGCAUUGUAGAAUCAAGUACACUCUGCAUAUGUUCUAACUUCCUUUGUCGGGAAUGAAUUGCUUUGUUUAAAAUCCAACAUGGUAAUUAAGUCCCAUGCUUUUCUGAUGCAUAGAAAUUCAUUUCAUGUUAGAAUCCUAAUGUACACAAAUGCAAGUUAAAGAAAAUAAUGGCCUACUAAGCGGUAUAACCUGCAAGCACUGCAUGUAUGGGGACCGGAGGGUGGAAUGCCAGUCCAGAAACUCUUUUUAAAAUUAUGCAAAUUAUGAUGGCAUUCUGAAAUCACUUCUAUGCCAAAAAGGGUCACUAGUAACAUAAAAGUCAUUUUAUAAGGAAACACAAUGUAAUUUUCAAGGCAUAAAGUGAAAUGAAUUAUAGAGCUACCUAAAACACAUUCUGAUAACAAAUGCAUGGGAAACCAUGCAGGAUGUUCACACCUAUAUGCAAUGAUUCUAUUUAGGAACUCUCUUAUUUCUCCUCCAAAAUCAUCUAAUAACAUUAUUGUAUACUUGGGUUGUUUAAUUUCAUAGUUCCGUAGAGAAGGUGAGUCAAAUUGAUGUAUUUUUUUUUUUAGUCUGGGUUUCUAUAAUCUAAGGCUGGCACAGUACUUCACAAUCACAUGUUCUAAACAGAAUCUGCUGCUUGGAGUGCAGUGUAAAUUUUCUUUACAGACUGUAUAAAGAGAAAACUUAUUACACACAAAUUGUAUUAAUUUCAGCUAGAUAUAGGCUAACCCACAAUACAGGCAUUGAAACAUGUCUCUACAGGUGAUUUCAGAUGUUGCAUUCUGGUGCUUUUAUUCAGUUCUGGUUUGAUUACCUUUUCUUUGGGUUCUUUGAGAAACCUAAAAAAAAAUCUUCCUGCAGUUUCCAUGCUAAAACCCCUGUCUUGGAUUACUCCUGAGCUAUAAGUCAGGGAUGUUUCUCACUUUCAAAAAAUUUUAAAAUCUGUAUCAUUGGACAAAUGCGCUUGCCCCAAAAUUUCUUAUUUAAUUGUUUUCCUCAUUCUACUUUGCCAUUUU